Molecule: ribosomal RNA, 465 nt
Filed under: Vreelandella stevensii
Lineage: Bacteria; Pseudomonadati; Pseudomonadota; Gammaproteobacteria; Oceanospirillales; Halomonadaceae
Description: partial 16S ribosomal RNA
Rfam family: Bacterial small subunit ribosomal RNA
Source: RNAcentral
CCUACGGGGUGCAGCAGUGGGGAAUAUUGGACAAUGGGCGAAAGCCUGAUCCAGCCAUGCCGCGUGUGUGAAGAAGGCCUUCGGGUUGUAAAGCACUUUCAGUGGGGAAGAAAGCCUUGGGGCUAAUACCCUCGAGGAAGGACAUCACCCACAGAAGAAGCACCGGCUAACUCCGUGCCAGCAGCCGCGGUAAUACGGAGGGUGCGAGCGUUAAUCGGAAUUACUGGGCGUAAAGCGCGCGUAGGCGGUCUGAUAAGCCGGUUGUGAAAGCCCCGGGCUCAACCUGGGAACAGCAUCCGGAACUGUCAGGCUAGAGUGCAGGAGAGGAAGGUAGAAUUCCCGGUGUAGCGGUGAAAUGCGUAGAGAUCGGGAGGAAUACCAGUGGCGAAGGCGGCCUUCUGGACUGACACUGACGCUGAGGUGCGAAAGCGUGGGUAGCAAACAGGAUUAGAUACCCCAGUAGUC